UACACACAUGUGCAUGGGGCGCACACGCCAGUUGUUGUCCGCCUGCAUGCUCGCGCACGUUGUGGCAUGCAGAGCUGUCUGUCUGCACAUGCAUAGAUCCUACUCAUGCAUGUGUCUUGUCUCGUGCACAUGCACAUAACUGUGGGGCGUGCGAGUGCUGCUGCGUGCUUAGUCGUACGGGUGAGGUGCUUGCAUGUGUGGGUGCCCCAACUCACACGUGUGGAAGGG
This 228-nucleotide long non-coding RNA is filed under the name Carica papaya (papaya). RNAcentral's name for it is "long non-coding RNA (CPAP_LNC003013)". Lineage: Eukaryota; Viridiplantae; Streptophyta; Magnoliopsida; Brassicales; Caricaceae. The record is from RNAcentral.